UUCCAUCAAUUUCUUUUGCCUUCAAAUUGUGUGGCAGUUUUAGUUUUUAAAUGUUUAGAUUUUAAAUAGCAAACAUUUCUCAGUAGACAGUUGCUGCGUAUUUCAACACGAGAAAGCGUGUAGCGGCGGUCUAUCAAAAGGAUCGGCGUCGUCAAAGUUGAUGUAAAGAGCAACCAAAAUUAGAUGGGAAACAGCGAGCGAGGCGUGCAAACCCCGACAAUGCAAGCCUCCACACUAGCAAUGAAGCGCAAGCAACUAAUUUUUGACGAAUCCCAAAGCAAGCUGAGCAGGAGCUCAUGAUUAGAAAAUGGCCCUUCACGUCCCGAAAGCACUUGGAUUUGCUUCCAUGUUAAAGGAAGGCGCUCGUGCUUAUUCAGGCCGAGAGGAGCAGUAUACCGGAACAUAUACGCCUGUAAGUUGCGCUCGGAAUGAACAAAAUGAUCAUCAAUCACAUCGAGAAGCAGUUCGUCACUUCCUAUGCGGGCACCAUCAGGGAUGUCGAACAUCCGGCAGCCAAACUGAUGAUCCAGGUCAGCCAGAUGCAGGAAGCCCAAAUGGGAGAUGUUUUCCAUCUUCGUGGUGGUGUUUUGCGGGGCGUUGCUGGAGGCCGCUUAAGAGCUGCUUCGAUUGGGAGUGAUGAUAUUACCGAAGGGUAUGAGAGAGCCCUGGAUCUAGCUUUGGAAGCUCUACCAAGUCUGGUUACAGUGCAAAGAUGACGACCGUUUCGCCAAACACAUGACGAAACACGGGCGCAUAUUUGGUUUCAUUCGUCAGGUUGAUGACUACAUUCUGGAGGAACCGAGUUUCGCCGUGCGUUUGGACUACCGUCCCGAUUACGCCAGAACGUUGGUGUACGUGCGGAACGUGUCACCCCAUUCGGUGUUGCGACUCAGCAGGGCCUACAUCCACCUGGCAGACGGUCACAUGAAGAUGCUGAUUGAAAGCGAGAUGCGCCUUCCUUGGGGUACGGUUUCAAAGUUUUGCUUCGACAGUUGCCUGCUUUCGGAGCUGGAUAGAAGCUACGGACUGAUAUUGGUUGGACUGGCGGACUCAAAGACAGAAAUAUUGGAACUUUACCACCUGCAAGUGACCGUGUUGAGUCAUUUCGUGAAAGAGCAGCUAAUUUUGAAGAAACCAACGAUUCAUUCUCCGCCGUUGAAUCAGUAUCCGGUACCGAUGUUGAUCAAACAUUUGUAUAAGCACGACUUUUCAACGAAAUCUAAAUUUGAUGGCGCGAAGCAACUGCUGGAUCAGUUGGCUAAAUUCAAGGAAGAGGCCUUGAAUAAGGGGAACUAUAUUGAAUAUUUAAAUGUACUGAACCAGAUAGAGGACUUUGAUAUUCAAAUGGAAUAUACUAAGUACAAAAUCGAUGAAGCUAGACUAGUGCCCGGUAUUUCAGAGAAGUAUUAUCGUUUGUCGGGGCCCUCCUUAGCCGUGCGGUAAGACGCGCGGUCACAAAGCAAGACCAUGCUGAGGGUGGCUGGGUUCGAUUCCCGGUGCCGGUCUAGGCAAUUUUCGGAUUGGAAAUUGUCUCGACUUCCCUGGGCAUAAAAGUAUCAUCGUGUUAGCCUCAUGAUAUACGAAUGCAAAAAUGGUAACCUGGCUAAGAAACCUCGCAGUUAAUAACUGUGGAAGUGCUUAAUGAACACUAAG
Long non-coding RNA from Armigeres subalbatus, 1653 nucleotides. RefSeq lists it as uncharacterized. The record is from RefSeq and is a predicted model, not a curated record. NCBI's taxonomy places the organism in Eukaryota, Metazoa, Arthropoda, Insecta, Diptera, Culicidae. The transcript has 3 exons.